Molecule: ribosomal RNA, 253 nt
Filed under: uncultured bacterium
Lineage: Bacteria
Description: partial 16S ribosomal RNA
Rfam family: Bacterial small subunit ribosomal RNA
Source: RNAcentral
GACAGAGGUUGCAAACGUUGUUCGGAAUCACUGGGCAUAAAGCGCACGUAGGCGGUCUGUUAAGUCAGGUGUGAAAGCCCCCGGCUCAACCGGGGAACAGCAUCUGAUACUGGCAGACUCGAGGAUGGUAGGGGUGAGUGGAACUCCAGGUGGAGCGGUGAAAUGCGUAGAUAUCUGGAGGAACACCGGUGGCGAAAGCGGCUCACUGGACCAUAACUGACGCUGAGGUGCGAAAGCUAGGGUAGCAAACGGG